This 487-nucleotide ribosomal RNA is filed under the name uncultured bacterium. RNAcentral describes it as "partial 16S ribosomal RNA". It matches the Rfam family "Bacterial small subunit ribosomal RNA", at positions 28 to 507 of the family's 1533-position model. The record is from RNAcentral.
GAUGAACGCUAGCGAUAGGCUUAACACAUGCAAGUCGAGGGGCAGCACAAGGUAGCUUGCUAUCUGGGUGGCGACCGGCGCACGGGUGCGUAACGCGUAUGCAACUUGCCCUAUACAGGAGGAUAGCCCGUCGAAAGACGGACUAAUACUGCGUAUGCUCACAACUUGGCAUCAAGUGGUGAGGAAAGAAAUUCGGUAUAGGAUAGGCAUGCGUCCCAUUAGCUUGUUGGUGAGGUAACGGCUCACCAAGGCAACGAUGGGUAGGGGAACUGAGAGGUUUAUCCCCCACACUGGUACUGAGACACGGACCAGACUCCUACGGGAGGCAGCAGUGAGGAAUAUUGGUCAAUGGGCGCGAGCCUGAACCAGCCAAGUCGCGUGAAGGAUGACUGUCUUAUGGAUUGUAAACUUCUUUUAUACGGGAAUAACAAGAGUCACGUGUGACUCCCUGCAUGUACCGUAUGAAUAAGCAUCGGCUAACUCCGUG